Bactrocera oleae (olive fruit fly) is the source of this 2686-nucleotide non-coding RNA. The record is from RefSeq and is a predicted model, not a curated record. NCBI's taxonomy places the organism in Eukaryota, Metazoa, Arthropoda, Insecta, Diptera, Tephritidae.
GCGUUGCCAAAGAAAUCGAAAUCGUGCAUUGUCCUUUAUAAUAUCUCAUUAUUGUGAUUUUUAUUGCAACUUGUAUACCAAAAGAGUGAUCACAUGUAUAGACAACCUUUGCAUUACUCCUAAGUAUAAUAAGUAUUAUGAAAAAAUGGGAAGAGAUAUAAACCUAACAUUUGGAAUGGAAAGUAUGGGCGCUUUGUUAAAGUGUUAUUCUGUUCCCAGUAGUAGUAUAUUAACCACAGCUGUUUCAUUCAUAAUCCGAACCUUACUUAAAAAUUUAUAAGUUUUCUUCGCUAAUUCCAUGCUUUCGUUCUAAACAAAUUAUAUACAUUAAAACAAUUUAAAAAUUACAGUGUAAAAAUGCGUUUGGUUAUUCUCUAUGGUAGUCAAACGGGCACAGCACAAAAUGUUGCAGAACAAAUUUGGCGCGAAUCCAAAACGUGGGGUUUUAGUGGCCCAGUAUUACCAAUGGAUGAGUAUCCAGUGGAGCAAUUAAUUGAGGAAAAAUUAGCAAUUUUUGUUGUAGCCACCACAGGAAAUGGCGAUGAACCAGAUAAUAUGAGAAAAACGUGGAAAUUUUUAUUGCGACGAAGCUUACCAGGAGAUUCACUGCAAAAUUUGCAAUUCGCUUGCUUAGGAUUAGGGGAUUCCAGCUAUGCUAAAUUUAAUUUUGCAGCUAAAAAAUUAAAUAAACGUCUAAUGCAACUGGGUGGCAAUAUGCUCCAACCUUUGGGUCUAUGCGAUGAUCAACAUGAUCAUGGACUUGGUGCGACCGCUUUGCCAUGGAUUGCAGAGCUGUGGAAUAAGUUGAAAAUGUCAAUACCGUUUAAUCCAUUGCAAAAAAAUGGUGAUUCAAAGACUAUUUUUAAGUAUCGCUUGAAUUGUCUCUCCCCAGAAACGCCACUGAUAGAGGAGACUAAGCUGAAAUGGCCAUUAAACAGUGAAGCUAUUAGUUUAACAUUAAGUGAAAAUCGGCGGACCACUGACGUAAGUCAUUUUCAAGAUGUACGAUUUCUUAGUUUCGAAUUUCCUUCUCAUAUUAAAUGGAAUGCCGGUGAUAUCUUAGACUUACGGCCUACUAAUUCCGAUGAGCAAUUUCAAAAAUUUUUCGAAUUAGUCAGAGAACAUAAUUUGGACUUUAAUGAAAAAACAGUAGUAAAUCUUGAAACUGUGUAUGAGGAUAUGCCAGUGCCAUUGGCUUACGCGAAUCCAGUAAAUGUGGGUAUGUUAGCAAAGUAUAUUUGGGAUUUGAGCGCCCGCCCAAAUCAACGUGUUUUCGAAUUGUUGUCAUUGAAUUGUGAAGAUGAAUUGGAGAAGGAAAAGUUAGAAGAAUUCGCAACAAUAGAAGGUUUAGAUGACCUUAUAAAUUACGUGAAUCGCCCAAGACGUACAAUUCUAGAAGUUUUACAAGACUUCCGGCACAGUGCUUCAAAAUUAAAACUGUCAAUUUUGUUUGAGAUGUUCACAGUCAUACAACCACGGAGUUUUUCAAUUGCAUCAAUGCCAUUCACACAUUCACUUGAUAUCCUCGUAGCAGUGGUUGAGUAUAAAACCAAAAUGUCAACGCCACGACUUGGGCUUUGUUCAAAUUGGUUAAAAUCGUUACCUAUUGGAUGUAGAGUGUUUGGUAUGAUAAAAAAAGGUACAAUCACAUUGCCUACCGACCUGGCAACACCAAUUAUAAUGGUAGGCCCAGGUACAGGAAUCGCACCUUUUCGGAGUGUAAUACAAUAUAGAAAAGAACAACAAAAAAGUGGCGCCAAAAUCGGCGAUUUGAUUGUUUUCUUCGGUUGCCGAAAUAAAACGAAGGACUUUCACUUUGUUGAUGAUUUUACCACUUGGCAAAGCGAGAAAUGCUGUGAAGUGUUUGUAGCAUUCUCACGUGAUCAAGAACACAAAGUGUACGUUCAACAUUUGAUAACAAAAGAAAAAGCAAGAAUUAGUGAAAUAAUUUUGAAGAAAAUGGCUGUGAUAUUGGUUGCUGGUUCUUCGAAUAGUAUGCCCAAAGCGGUUCGUGAGGCGUUUAUUGAAGUGGUGAAUGGAGAUGAGAAUUAUUUGGAUCAGAUGGUAAAAUGUCGGAGGUAUCAAGAGGAGACAUGGUCCUAAAAUAACGCAAUAGAAAAUGGCAUUUACGGGAAAGAUUCGAUUUGGUGGUGUAGAAAAUUCGAACGAACGCGAACCCAAUUCGUUAAAUUGGACAUUGUCGUACGGCACUUCUAGGCGUUUGGAAUAUUUUUCUGUUUGCAACGGCAAUUUUUGUACAGUGUUGCUUUUUUGUGGCUCUAGUGGUGUGUUCAUGCAGCAAUUGCAGUUAAAUAUUAAAACCAUAAAGUUAAAAGGUAUUUUGAGGUCUUAAAAAUGAGUAGACAGAGGCGGCAAAUUUAGCUACAUCUACUCGUGUUUCGAUUUCUCGUUCGUUAAGUUGAUUUUCAUUUUGUGCUUGCUGAAAUGUCGUACAGUAGUGGACAGUGUGAAAUUGAUUGCGUUAGCGGCAGUGCCAUUAUUGUGACAAGAAAUAAUUUGUGUAAGAAAGUUUGUGAAACGUAAUUUUCACUAGCAAUAAAUUAUAAAACUUCUAAUUAUGUUAGAAACGAGUGUACGUGUAUAAGAAUAUUUGGAUAUCAAUGGAAUUAUAAAUAAACUCUCCCGCCAGAUUAAAUGAAGCGUGUUUGAAUGUGGGAACAGAAUA